GUCCUUUAGUUAAAUAUAAUUUAAGGUCUAACCUGCCCAUUGAUAAAUUUAAAAGGCCGCAGUAAUUUGACUGUGCAAAGGUAGCAUAAUCAUUAGUUUUUUAAUUAAAAGCUUGUAUGAAUGGUUGGACGAGAUAAAAUCUGUCUCUUAAUAAAAAUUAGAAUUUAAUUUUUAAGUUAAAAAGCUUAAAUAAAAAUAAAAGACGAGAAGACCCUAUAGAUCUUUAUAUAAUUUUUUUUAGUAUUAAUUUAGAAAAUUUUAUUUAUUAGAAAAAAUUUUAUUUUAUUGGGGUAAUAAAAAGAUUAAAAAAAUUCUUUUUAAUUUAACAGUAAUUAUUGAUUAAUUGAUCCAUUAUUAAUGAUUAAAAGAUUAAGUUACCUUAGGGAUAACAGCGUAAUUUUUUUAAAGAGUUCUUAUCAAUAAAAAAGUUUGCGA
RNAcentral lists this ribosomal RNA (435 nucleotides) under Hydroporus puberulus. RNAcentral describes it as "partial 16S ribosomal RNA". Lineage: Eukaryota; Metazoa; Arthropoda; Insecta; Coleoptera; Dytiscidae. The record is from RNAcentral.